UUCGACAACGGAUCUCUUGGCUCUCGCAUCGAUGAAGAACGCAGCGAAAUGCGAUAAGUAAUGUGAAUUGCAGAAUUCAGUGAAUCAUCGAAUCUUUGAACGCACCUUGCGCCCUUUGGUAUUCCGAGGGGCAUGCCUGUUUGAGUGUCAUU
This 152-nucleotide ribosomal RNA is filed under the name Schizophyllum commune. RNAcentral describes it as "5.8S ribosomal RNA". It matches the Rfam family "5.8S ribosomal RNA". Rfam says of the family: 5.8S ribosomal RNA (5.8S rRNA) is a component of the large subunit of the eukaryotic ribosome. It is transcribed by RNA polymerase I as part of the 45S precursor that also contains 18S and 28S rRNA. Lineage: Eukaryota; Fungi; Basidiomycota; Agaricomycetes; Agaricales; Schizophyllaceae. The record is from RNAcentral.